Long non-coding RNA from Silurus meridionalis, 544 nucleotides. RefSeq lists it as uncharacterized. The record is from RefSeq and is a predicted model, not a curated record. The transcript is spliced from 3 exons. Lineage: Eukaryota; Metazoa; Chordata; Actinopteri; Siluriformes; Siluridae.
UCUAUCUAUCUAUCUAUCUAUCUAUCUGUCUGUCUGUCUGUCUGUCUGUCUGUCUGUCUGUCUGUCUGUCUGUCUGUCUGUCUGUCUAUAUCAUGGGAGAUGCCUUCAUGGAAAAAUAAACUCUUCCACAACCUUGAAGCUCUGACAGGUGCACAGGUGCUAUAAGGAGUUUCUGUUUAUGUUGGAGUUUCUAUCCAAUUAGAUUUCACACAUCACAUCACAUGUUGCCAGCAUCAAAGGAAUCAGGACUUCAAAAUGAACAGAGUGGGCGCUUGCAGCAAACAGUUCAUGGUGCUUGAAAGCUGUUGUUUGAGUUGGCGGCACUGAGGCGCACAAUAAUGGAUCUGCUGCAAACUGCACAAGCUCAAAAACAUACCUGUGGAUUUAAAAGCUGUUUUUUUAUUUCACUGUGGCUGACAGAGGCGAAGAAAUGAAUUUAGUCACAGUUACACCUAUAAGGAUUUUUACAAGACGAACUGUUUCAGAAAAGCUGGAGGAAAAGUGAGGAAAGAAGAAGAGAAAUUGAUUUGGUCUCGGACAAAAU